CGCUGUUGGAAUCGCGCUCCUGGC
RNAcentral lists this microRNA (24 nucleotides) under Canis lupus familiaris (dog). RNAcentral's name for it is "cfa-miR-8799e". The record is from miRBase by way of RNAcentral. Lineage: Eukaryota; Metazoa; Chordata; Mammalia; Carnivora; Canidae.